UUAAAUUGAAGAGUUUGAUCAUGGCUCAGAUUGAACGCUGGCGGCAGGCCUAACACAUGCAAGUCGAACGGUAACAGGAAGAAGCUUGCUUCUUUGCUGACGAGUGGCGGACGGGUGAGUAAUGUCUGGGAAACUGCCUGAUGGAGGGGGAUAACUACUGGAAACGGUAGCUAAUACCGCAUAACGUCGCAAGACCAAAGAGGGGGACCUUCGGGCCUCUUGCCAUCGGAUGUGCCCAGAUGGGAUUAGCUUGUUGGUGGGGUAACGGCUCACCAAGGCGACGAUCCCUAGCUGGUCUGAGAGGAUGACCAGCCACACUGGAACUGAGACACGGUCCAGACUCCUACGGGAGGCAGCAGUGGGGAAUAUUGCACAAUGGGCGCAAGCCUGAUGCAGCCAUGCCGCGUGUAUGAAGAAGGCCUUCGGGUUGUAAAGUACUUUCAGCGGGGAGGAAGGGAGUAAAGUUAAUACCUUUGCUCAUUGACGUUACCCGCAGAAGAAGCACCGGCUAACUCCGUGCCAGCAGCCGCGGUAAUACGGAGGGUGCAAGCGUUAAUCGGAAUUACUGGGCGUAAAGCGCACGCAGGCGGUUUGUUAAGUCAGAUGUGAAAUCCCCGGGCUCAACCUGGGAACUGCAUCUGAUACUGGCAAGCUUGAGUCUCGUAGAGGGGGGUAGAAUUCCAGGUGUAGCGGUGAAAUGCGUAGAGAUCUGGAGGAAUACCGGUGGCGAAGGCGGCCCCCUGGACGAAGACUGACGCUCAGGUGCGAAAGCGUGGGGAGCAAACAGGAUUAGAUACCCUGGUAGUCCACGCCGUAAACGAUGUCGACUUGGAGGUUGUGCCCUUGAGGCGUGGCUUCCGGAGCUAACGCGUUAAGUCGACCGCCUGGGGAGUACGGCCGCAAGGUUAAAACUCAAAUGAAUUGACGGGGGCCCGCACAAGCGGUGGAGCAUGUGGUUUAAUUCGAUGCAACGCGAAGAACCUUACCUGGUCUUGACAUCCACGGAAGUUUUCAGAGAUGAGAAUGUGCCUUCGGGAACCGUGAGACAGGUGCUGCAUGGCUGUCGUCAGCUCGUGUUGUGAAAUGUUGGGUUAAGUCCCGCAACGAGCGCAACCCUUAUCCUUUGUUGCCAGCGGUCCGGCCGGGAACUCAAAGGAGACUGCCAGUGAUAAACUGGAGGAAGGUGGGGAUGACGUCAAGUCAUCAUGGCCCUUACGACCAGGGCUACACACGUGCUACAAUGGCGCAUACAAAGAGAAGCGACCUCGCGAGAGCAAGCGGACCUCAUAAAGUGCGUCGUAGUCCGGAUUGGAGUCUGCAACUCGACUCCAUGAAGUCGGAAUCGCUAGUAAUCGUGGAUCAGAAUGCCACGGUGAAUACGUUCCCGGGCCUUGUACACACCGCCCGUCACACCAUGGGAGUGGGUUGCAAAAGAAGUAGGUAGCUUAACCUUCGGGAGGGCGCUUACCACUUUGUGAUUCAUGACUGGGGUGAAGUCGUAACAAGGUAACCGUAGGGGAACCUGCGGUUGGAUCACCUCCUUACCUUAAAGAAGC
Molecule: ribosomal RNA, 1556 nt
Filed under: Escherichia coli
Lineage: Bacteria; Pseudomonadati; Pseudomonadota; Gammaproteobacteria; Enterobacterales; Enterobacteriaceae
Also listed under: 3 other names
Description: bacterial SSU rRNA
Rfam family: Bacterial small subunit ribosomal RNA
Source: RNAcentral